RNAcentral lists this ribosomal RNA (989 nucleotides) under Coccodiella toledoi. RNAcentral describes it as "partial 18S ribosomal RNA". It matches the Rfam family "Eukaryotic small subunit ribosomal RNA", at positions 51 to 1053 of the family's 1831-position model. Lineage: Eukaryota; Fungi; Ascomycota; Sordariomycetes; Phyllachorales; Phyllachoraceae. The record is from RNAcentral.
AUGCAUGUCUAAGUAUAAGCAAUUAUACUGCGAAACUGCGAAUGGCUCAUUAAAUCAGUUAUCGUUUAUUUGAUAGUACCUUUACUACAUGGACAACCGUGGUAAUUCUAGAGCUAAUACAUGCUAAAAACCCCGACUGUCGGGGUGUAUUUAUUAGAUUAAAAACCAAUGCCCUUCGGGGCUUGCAGGUGAAUCAUGAUAACUUCUCGGAUCGCACGGCCUUGUGCUGGCGAUGGUUCAUUCAAAUUUCUGCCCUAUCAACUUUCGAUGGCUGGGUAUUGGCCAGCCAUGGUGACAACGGGUAACGGAGGGUUAGGGCUCGACCCCGGAGAAUCCGCCUGAGAAACGGCGAAUACAUCCAAGGAAGGCAGCAGGCGCGCAAAUUGCCCAAUGCCGACUCGGCGAGGCAGCGACAAGAAAUACUGAUACAGGGCUCUUUUGGGUCUUGUAAUUGGAAUGAGUACAAUCUAAACCCUUAACGANGAACNNNNNNNNNNNNNNNNNNNNNNNNNNNNNNNNNNNNNNNNNNNNNNCAAUAGCGUAUAUUAAAGUUGUUGAGGUUAAAAAGCUCGUAGUUGAACCUUGGUCCUGGCUGGCCGGUCCGCCUCACCGCGUGCACUGGUCCGGCCGGGGCUUUCCCUCUGGGGAUCCGCAUGCCCUUUACUGUGUGUGACGGGGAACCAGGACGUUUACUCUGAACAAAUUAGAUCGCUUCAAGAAGGCCUAUGCUCGAAUAGUCUAGCAUGGAAUAAUGGAAUAGGAUGUGUGGUUCUAUUUUGUUGGUUUCUAGGACCGCCGUAAUGAUUAAUAGGGACAGUCGGGGGCAUCAGUAUUCAAUUGUCAGAGGUGAAAUUCUUGGAUUUAUUGAAGACUAACUACUGCGAAAGCAUUUGCCAAGGAUGUUUUCAUUAAUCAGGAACGAAAGUCAGGGGAUCGAAGACGAUCAGAUACCGUCGUAGUCUUGACCAUAAACUAUGCCGAUUAGGGAU